Molecule: long non-coding RNA, 1571 nt
Organism: Pseudoliparis swirei
Lineage: Eukaryota; Metazoa; Chordata; Actinopteri; Perciformes; Liparidae
Exons: 5
Source: RefSeq, a predicted model, not a curated record
GGCCCCCCCCCCCCCCCCCAAAACCCAGAGCUGCUCUCCAGGGGCCUCACAAAGAGCCCCAUACACACCGGCCGGGCCGAGGGAACAAGGGGUCCCUUGAAGCCCUGCGGCGAGGGGAAAGUGUGCGCCGCCGCCCGGACACUCACGGAGACGUUCUGCUCGCCGCACACACACACAUGUUGAUCGCUGGCGAGCAGAGAGCGCGUUGUUCUGUGUGUGUGUGUGUGUGUCACGGCUCUGAAGACGCUGCCAACGGCGUCGCCGUGGAAACCAUCCGUCAGAAAUGUGAUUUCCCUCGGGGACAAUGCAGCGACUGUUGAAACUCUAAAAGUCUGUUGGUGAAGAGGGUCCCGAACAUGGCCGACAACCUGAUGGACUAUGUCGGAUUCGAAAUCCCGAACCACUUCGUGGUGGGUUACGCCUUGGACUACAACAAAUACUUCCGCGACCUGAGCGAGAAGUCCCGCCUCCUUCUUCUCCUGAGAAGUGCGUCCGGCCUUUCCCGCCGCUGCCUCUCCUCCUCGGACUGUUUACACCCGUCUCACACCUCCGCCGAGCUUUGAGCCGGGAGCGCAACCUCUCCUCUAUUUUCUUUUUGCCGCACCCCCGAUGACACGCUAUUUCAUGCCAGAUUUCUCAGCCCGAAAUUACACAUCUGCGUCAUCAGCGAGACCGGGAAGAGGAAGUACAAGGUUUGAGGAGCAACACAGAGAAGCUUUCUUUUUGUUUUCUGCAUUUUCUGUCACUUUGUUUCAGAAAAUGUAAAGCAGGGUUCAUACGGUAAAAAAAAAUGGAAUUUUAAAAUGUUUUUUUUUCAGGCUUGAAAAAGUCAUUGAAAUAAAUAUAAUAGCAAAAGUUUUGAAAAAGUCAUGGAAAUGUUGUUAUAUUUAUAUGUUUAUUAACCCGGUAUGUACUGCUUUGUAAUUGUCAUUGUUAGUUUAAAUACUACAUUUUCUCACUAUUUCAUUAUCUGUUGUUUUUAUUAAUUUUAUUGUAAUUUUUGCUAUUUUUAUAUAUACUACACUUUCUCCCUAUUUUCAUGAACCAGAAACAAUCAAGAUAAACGUAGAAUAUUACAAGUAGCUCAUAGAAAAACCUUAAGAAUUGUCCCCUUUUUUAUUUUAUUACAUAUCAUUUACAGGGUUCGUAAAGUCAUGGAAAACCUGGAAAAAUCAUGGAAUAUAAAAAUGGUUAUUUCCAGGCCUGGAAAAGUCCUUGAAAAAAUGAAAUCCCAAAAGUCAUGAACAUUUGUUAUAUUCAUAUGUUCAUUUAUGCAGUUUGAUUUAAAAGAAUAAACAUUUAUAUAAAUAUUUAUUCUUUUUAAUCAAACUUGUCAUUCAUUUGUCCUUAUUUUUACACCGAGAUUUCACAACAUUUUUGGUCAUCGAAAUUUGGUUUUAAAGUCAUGGAAAUUCUUUGGUCAAAAUGUGUAUGAACUCUGUAAUGUAUGUAAAUAAAAUGCUUUUAAAUUGAAAGAACAUCCUUCUUCCCAAAGCGGGCAAUCAUAACGGUUGAGACGGCCUUUUUAAAUAGCGUUUUUUCUAAAUAAACAACAACAACAACAAAAGUGA